UUUUCUCUUUUCAACAAACUGCAUUCUUCUCUAGUGCAUUGCUCCCCUUCAGGUGCGUUCUCUUUCAAUUUUCUAUCCAUUUUUGUAAAUAUUCUUCUUCUUCUCAAUUUAUGUCCCCUGCUUUGAUUUUUGAAUCACGGAUUAUGUCUUUUGUGUUGCUUAUUAUUUCAAUUUAAGUUAUUUUUCAUUAAGUUAUUUUCAGGCUAGGAAUACGGUUUAUUGGUAUUGUAUUGUGUCUAGGAAAUUUUUGAAGUGAAGUAUCCAGUUGGGCGAAUCAACUUCACAAUGUCACUGCUCGUCUUAAGGUGGUUUUUCUUUCUUUCUUCUUAAUUUCAUUUAUUUUUUUUAUUAUCUCAGUAGCAGUAGAAUUUGGGAUUUUCAGUUGCAGUUAUUUCUUGAAUCAAUAAUUAAACCCUUAUGGACAAUCUAGCUUGAAAUUUAUCUCUUUUUUAAAGAGUGUUGACAUUCGAUGGAAGACCAUUCUUUUGUAGAUGUUUUGCAUCUGGCUACAGAUUAUUCAGUGUUGUCGUAAGGUGCUCCUUUAUUUAACGCAAAGCUUUUUCAGGUUCCAAUUAGAAUUUAGUUCUGUUGUGUGAUGUUGAAAUUGAUUAAAGAGACCCACAAAUUAAUAUAAUAUGGGAGAGCAUAAAUACAUUUUAUAUUGCGGAUUGUUUAGUCAGGGGACUUGCUAAUAUUUUUCUCACUUCUACAUUGAGGAAUAUCAAGACAGUACAUGAUCUUUAAUGUAUGCAUCUCUUUCACUUGCUAUGGUCUGACAAAUUUUCCUUCUCUAGCUCAUACUUUAGUAAUUUAGUUUUCCAUUUCCCUUAGAAAAUGAAUUAUUGCAAAUGAAAACUUUCUCUAGUAAUGUCUUGCAUCGUAUUAUUAUUGCAGAUGUACACGUUUCUAAGAGUACUGGAUUCGGUGGUGUAAUUUCAAACCCCCCUAUCAGGUAAGUUGACUCAUUUUAUCGAAAAAACUAGCUUAUUUACAACUCGUAUAAGUUUUGAACAUGUUUUAUAUAUGCCUCCAAAUUCGAAUAUCUCUAGCUACAAAGAUCAUUAGGCAGGAAAAUUAUUUGUAUGCUACUGAUAUUUUAUUUAUUUGAAAAAAGAAUAUGAACUAUAACUUUCUAUAUGAUUACUCGAGAUUGAAGGUGAAGAACAUGAGCCUUACAUCGAAGUAUCUCAAGCAUAAAUAUGGUGUACUAUGUAGAGGUUGUUUUCAAUAAAGGAUGGAGUGUUUUUGUAAAUCUAAAUCCAAUAGAUUUGUAUGAUAUAGAAGAAAAAGUUGUGGAAGAUGAAGGUUAUGAGAAUGAGCCAUAGUAAGAAUUAGGAUACAACUAGCUGCAGACCAAGGCAAAUGUUGUUACUUAUUUAGCAACAAAUGCAUGCAAAUUUGAAUAAAAUUUUGAUUUAAUACGGUGUUUUAUUUGAAGGUAAUAGUAUUGCAUAUUUAAGUAGUGCUUAUUUCAUUUAUUUCGUUUAUAGGCAUGUUUAGAGAUGAUAUUUGUAUUUGUUUUAAAGGAAAGUUCAAAAAUGGUAUUCAUAUUUGAUUCUCCUGAUUUUUUAUUUCUUGUAUUCAUAUGUGUUCUCCGUAAGAGGAUCUCUUACUAUGAAGUGAUUCAAGGGACAAAAGACUUUGAUAAAGCCAACUUGAUUGGAUACUAAUCUAUGCAUAUUUUGGUUUUAACAGAUUGAUAUGCUAUUAUGAUAACAUUGAGCGGUAAGUUAAAAUUUUCAAUCUUUUCACAUCUUUCCCCCAGGUUAUAUUACGUAACUAAGAGUAAUUUGUUGUAUAUUCUCUUGUAGUUACUGAUGAUAUAGAUACUAGUGGAAUUCAUGCCUUAGAAAAAGUUUUGUGCGUUUUAAUUUGUUGUUUCUUUUGUUUGAAGUUGGAUCCAACAAAUUUUGACAUGCUUGGUUUGUUUAACUAACUACUCAUAUAAGAUUGUUCCUAUUAUGUUCAAUUCUUCUACUUCAGUUUUCUAGUGUUGUUAGCUUCAGUUUUGAUGCAAAUUUAACUUUUGUUAAUAAUUGGGAUAGAUUACACAUUAUACUUUAUUUGUUUGAUUUUAAUGUUAGAAAGUCUAUAAUAUUGCACCCAAAAGUGUGGCCUAGUGGUCAAUGAAGUGGGUGAGAACCAUAAGAUCUCAAGUUCAAAUCCCAGUGGAGGCAAAUACUAGGUAAUUUCUUCCCAUCUAUCCAAACCUUGAUGGAUAGAGUUACCUGGUACCUGUUGUUAGUGGGAGGUGGCAAGUAUCCCGUGAAAUUAGUCGAAGUGCGCGCAAGCUGGCCCGGACACCACGGUUAUCAAGAAAGCCUAUAAUGAUUAACUUAUAUUUUAUCAGUUACAUUGUGGUUUUCGUGAAUAUUUGACAAGAAUUUAUGUUACCAAGUAAAAUAGUUUGUGGACGUAAGUGUUGUGAUGAUAUUCAAGGAAAUAACUUUGUACGUUAGCUCUUAUUUAUGUGAGUAUCUAACAACUUCAUUUCAAUGUUAUUGUUAGACCAAGUAACAUAUUUAUUUGUAAGAGAAUAUGAGCUUUCGUUUAUUUAUAUACCAAGAACCUCCUUUUAGCUUGUUGGCAAAAUGUUAUUCGUUUAUAAGUUUUUGAUAAAAUUUCAUUGUUUCAGCAUGUGAUAUGUAGAGUGAGUCUACUUCAUUUGGUGGAUGUGAGAAUAUGAUCAGAUGGCAGCAAUACAAAUCACCAAGCAAAUACUUGGCAUAUCUCUA
This 2735-nucleotide long non-coding RNA is filed under the name Nicotiana tabacum (common tobacco). RNAcentral's name for it is "long non-coding RNA (NTAB_LNC002477)". Lineage: Eukaryota; Viridiplantae; Streptophyta; Magnoliopsida; Solanales; Solanaceae. The record is from RNAcentral.